RNAcentral lists this ribosomal RNA (496 nucleotides) under uncultured bacterium. Its description in RNAcentral is "partial 16S ribosomal RNA". It matches the Rfam family "Bacterial small subunit ribosomal RNA", at positions 28 to 506 of the family's 1533-position model. The record is from RNAcentral.
GAUGAACGCUGGCGGCGUGCCUAAUACAUGCAAGUCGAGCGAACAGACGAGGAGCUUGCUCCUUUGACGUUAGCGGCGGACGGGUGAGUAACACGUGGGUAACCUACCUAUAAGACUGGGAUAACUUCGGGAAACCGGAGCUAAUACCGGAUAAUAUUUCGAACCGCAUGGUUCGAUAGUGAAAGAUGGCUUUGCUAUCACUUAUAGAUGGACCUGCGCCGUAUUAGCUAGUUGGUAAGGUAACGGCUUACCAAGGCAACGAUACGUAGCCGACCUGAGAGGGUGAUCGGCCACACUGGAACUGAGACACGGUCCAGACUCCUACGGGAGGCAGCAGUAGGGAAUCUUCCGCAAUGGGCGAAAGCCUGACGGAGCAACGCCGCGUGAGUGAUGAAGGUCUUCGGAUCGUAAAACUCUGUUAUUAGGGAAGAAUAAACGUGUAAGUAACUGUGCACGUCUUGACGGUACCUAAGCAGAAAGCCACGGCUAACUACGU